AACGGUAGCUAAUACCGCAUAACGUCGCAAGACCAAAGAGGGGGACCUUCGGGCCUCUUGCCAUCAGAUGUGCCCAGAUGGGAUUAGCUAGUAGGUGGGGUAAUGGCUCACCUAGGCGACGAUCCCUAGCUGGUCUGAGAGGAUGACCAGCCACACUGGAACUGAGACACGGUCCAGACUCCUACGGGAGGCAGCAGUGGGGAAUAUUGCACAAUGGGCGCAAGCCUGAUGCAGCCAUGCCGCGUGUGUGAAGAAGGCCUUCGGGUUGUAAAGCACUCUCAGCGAGGAGGAAGGUGGUGAGCUUAAUACGCUCAUCAAUUGACGUUACUCGCAGAAGAAGCACCGGCUAACUCCGUGCCAGCAGCCGCGGUAAUACGGAGGGUGCAAGCGUUAAUCGGAAUUACUGGGCGUAAA
Molecule: ribosomal RNA, 414 nt
Filed under: Serratia marcescens
Lineage: Bacteria; Pseudomonadati; Pseudomonadota; Gammaproteobacteria; Enterobacterales; Yersiniaceae
Description: bacterial SSU rRNA
Rfam family: Bacterial small subunit ribosomal RNA
Source: RNAcentral